RNAcentral lists this ribosomal RNA (590 nucleotides) under Morchella exuberans. Its description in RNAcentral is "partial 28S ribosomal RNA". It matches the Rfam family "Eukaryotic large subunit ribosomal RNA", at positions 50 to 650 of the family's 3401-position model. Lineage: Eukaryota; Fungi; Ascomycota; Pezizomycetes; Pezizales; Morchellaceae. The record is from RNAcentral.
GCGGAGGAAAAGAAACCAACAGGGAUUGCCUCAGUAACGGCGAGUGAAGCGGCAAAAGCUCAAAUUUUAAAGCUGGCAUCUUCGGUGUCCGCGUUGUAAUUUUGUGAGGCAUCUCCGGGUAGGGCGCCGGCCUAAGUUCCUUGGAACAGGACGUCACAGAGGGUGAGAAUCCCGUGCUUGGCUGGCUGUCCCCGUCCAUGUGAGGUGUCUUCGACGAGUCGAGUUGUUUGGGAAUGCAGCUCAAAAUGGGUGGUAAAUUUCAUCUAAAGCUAAAUAUUGGUGGGAGACCGAUAGCGCACAAGUAGAGUGAUCGAAAGAUGAAAAGCACUUUGAAAAUAGAGUUAAAAAGUACGUGAAAUUGUUGAAAGGGAAGCGCUUGAGACCAGACUUCGGUAGGGAGUGAUCAGCCGUCCUUCUGGGCGGUGCACUUGCCCCCCUCCGGGCCAGCAUCGGUUGAGGCGGCGGGAUAAAUGUCCCGGGAAUGUGGCUCCUUCACGGGAGUGUUAUAGCCCGGGUGAAUGCCGCCAGUCUCGACCGAGGACCGCACCCGCAAGGGUUAGGAUGCUUGGCAUAAUGGUCUUCAGCGACCC